AUCCAGUCGGUGAGUCCCAAAUAGGACGAAACGCGCGUCCUUGAU
This is a non-coding RNA of Schistosoma curassoni, 45 nucleotides long. The record is from Rfam. NCBI's taxonomy places the organism in Eukaryota, Metazoa, Platyhelminthes, Trematoda, Strigeidida, Schistosomatidae.